RNAcentral lists this transfer RNA (81 nucleotides) under Rhizoctonia solani. Its description in RNAcentral is "tRNA-Arg". It matches the Rfam family "tRNA". From Rfam's summary of the family: Transfer RNA (tRNA) molecules are approximately 80 nucleotides in length. Their secondary structure includes four short double-helical elements and three loops (D, anti-codon, and T loops). Lineage: Eukaryota; Fungi; Basidiomycota; Agaricomycetes; Cantharellales; Ceratobasidiaceae. The record is from RNAcentral.
GGCCGCCUGGCGAAAUGGUAUCGCGUCUGACUACGAUCCAUGUAUAUCAGGAGAUUGCAGGUUCGAGCCCUGCGGUGGUCA